ACGAACGCUGGCGGCGUGCUUAACACAUGCCAGUCGAACGGAAAGGCCCUGCUUGCAGGGUACUCGAGUGGCGAACGGGUGAGUAACACGUGGGUGAUCUGCCCUGCACUUCGGGAUAAGCCUGGGAAACUGGGUCUAAUACCGGAUAGGAGCCAUUUUUAGUGUGAUGGUUGGAAAGUUUUUUCGGUGUAGGAUGAGCUCGCGGCCUAUCAGCUUGUUGGUGGGGUAAUGGCCUACCAAGGCGGCGACGGGUAGCCGGCCUGAGAGGGUGGACGGCCACAUUGGGACUGAGAUACGGCCCAGACUCCUACGGGAGGCAGCAGUGGGGAAUAUUGCACAAUGGGCGCGAGCCUGAUGCAGCGACGCCGCGUGGGGGAUGACGGCCUUCGGGUUGUAAACUCCUUUCGCUAGGGACGAAGCUUUUUGUGACGGUACCUAGAUAAGAAGCACCGGCUAACUACGUG
Molecule: ribosomal RNA, 464 nt
Filed under: uncultured bacterium
Lineage: Bacteria
Description: partial 16S ribosomal RNA
Rfam family: Bacterial small subunit ribosomal RNA
Source: RNAcentral